GUGGCUGUAGCUCAAUGGCAGAGCGCUUCCCUGUGGAGGAAGAUGUUGAGGGUUCGAAACCCUUCAGCCACC
This 72-nucleotide transfer RNA is filed under the name Chloroflexota bacterium. RNAcentral describes it as "tRNA-His". It matches the Rfam family "tRNA". From Rfam's summary of the family: Transfer RNA (tRNA) molecules are approximately 80 nucleotides in length. Their secondary structure includes four short double-helical elements and three loops (D, anti-codon, and T loops). Lineage: Bacteria; Bacillati; Chloroflexota. The record is from RNAcentral.